ACGGGGUGCAGCAGGCGCGAAACCUCCGCCAUGUACGAAAGUGCGACGGCGGGAUCCCAAGUCUUAUGCUUUAUUUGUAUAACUUUUCAUUAGUGUAAAAAGCUUAUAGAAUAAGAGCUGGCAAGACCGGUGCCAGCCGCCGCGGUAAU
This 149-nucleotide ribosomal RNA is filed under the name uncultured methanogenic archaeon. RNAcentral describes it as "partial 16S ribosomal RNA". It matches the Rfam family "Archaeal small subunit ribosomal RNA", at positions 325 to 474 of the family's 1478-position model. Lineage: Archaea; Methanobacteriati; Methanobacteriota. The record is from RNAcentral.